GUGCUUAGGUUGGUAAUAUAUAUACUUACGUUGGAAUGAUAUAGAAAAGAUUAGAAUGGCCUCUGUGCAAGGAUGAUAUACAUAUUUCUGAAACAGUCCAUAUCUUU
This is a small nuclear RNA of Sarcophilus harrisii (Tasmanian devil), 107 nucleotides long. The record is from Ensembl. Lineage: Eukaryota; Metazoa; Chordata; Mammalia; Dasyuromorphia; Dasyuridae.